AGCAGCCGCGGUAAUUCCAGCUCCAAUAGCGUAUAUUAAAGUUGUUGCAGUUAAAAAGCUCGUAGUUGAAUUUCGGGAUCAAUAUGUUGGUCGUGCCUCGGUACGUACUAGCUUAUUGGUUUCUCCUUUCUGAAGAACCAUGAUGUCAUUUAUUUGGUGUCGUGGGGAAUCAGGACUGUUACUUUGAAAAAAUUAGAGUGUUUAAAGCAGGCUCACGCUUGAAUACAUUAGCAUGGAAUAAUGAAAUAGGACGUUUGAUUCUAUUUUGUUGGUUUCUAGGAUCGACGUAAUGAUUAAUAGGGAUAGUUGGGGGCAUUAGUAUUCAAUUGUCAGAGGUGAAAUUCUUGGAUUUAUUGAAGACUAACUACUGCGAAAGCAUUUGCCAAGGAUGUUUUCAUUAAUCAAGAACGAAAGUUAGGGGAUCGAAGACGAUCAGAUACCGUCGUAGUCUUAACCAUAAACUAAUGCCGACUAGGGAUCGGAUGAUGUUAAUUUUUAAUUGUACUC
RNAcentral lists this ribosomal RNA (507 nucleotides) under uncultured Glomus. Its description in RNAcentral is "SSU rRNA". It matches the Rfam family "Eukaryotic small subunit ribosomal RNA", at positions 569 to 1081 of the family's 1831-position model. The record is from RNAcentral. Lineage: Eukaryota; Fungi; Glomeromycota; Glomeromycetes; Glomerales; Glomeraceae.